RNAcentral lists this ribosomal RNA (440 nucleotides) under uncultured bacterium. RNAcentral's name for it is "partial 16S ribosomal RNA". It matches the Rfam family "Bacterial small subunit ribosomal RNA", at positions 338 to 795 of the family's 1533-position model. The record is from RNAcentral.
CCUACGGGAGGCUGCAGUGGGGAAUAUUGCACAAUGGGGGAAACCCUGAUGCAGCGACGCCGCGUGAGCGAUGAAGUAUUUCGGUAUGUAAAGCUCUAUCAGCAGGGAAGAAGAUGACGGUACCUGCCUAAGAAGCCCCGGCUAACUACGUGCCAGCAGCCGCGGUAAUACGUAGGGGGCAAGCGUUAUCCGGAUUUACUGGGUGUAAAGGGAGCGUAGACGGCGAUGCAAGCCAGAUGUGAAAGCUCGGGGCUCAACCCCGGGACUGCAUUUGGAACUGUGUGGCUGGAGUGUCGGAGAGGCAGGCGGAAUUCCUAGUGUAGCGGUGAAAUGCGUAGAUAUUAGGAGGAACACCAGUGGCGAAGGCGGCCUGCUGGACGAUGACUGACGGUGAGGCGCGAAAGCGUGGGGAGCAAACAGGAUUAGAUACCCCUGUAGUC